RNAcentral lists this small RNA (28 nucleotides) under Bombyx mori (domestic silkworm). RNAcentral describes it as "ovarian small RNA-1729". Lineage: Eukaryota; Metazoa; Arthropoda; Insecta; Lepidoptera; Bombycidae. The record is from RNAcentral.
CGGGACAUCAAGUCCUUCCUGGAGUCAC